CCACGGUAUGAUUGCUGCACCCUCAUGGAGCUCUCACAGCGCUUUGGAUUUUCGGCCGUCCGAUCGAGCUGACGUGGCGCGAUCUCGGCCGUCGUUCCGUCCAGGGCGCUGAGGCCCUCCCGCAGACCCACUUUUUAUCCAUGGGUCGCGAAAAGCCCCGCUCGGCCCGAUCUCUCGCUAGCCCUCCACCAAUCGCCACGCCCCCAAUCGCUCCCCAAUCCCCACUCCUCUGCCCGUCUCCUCCCCUUCCUCUCCCCUCGCGCCCGCAUCCCCGCCGCCGCACGCCUCUCUCCCUCUCCUCCUCUCCCCUCGCCCGUCCUCCUCCUCUCUCCCAUCGCCACCAUAUCUCGUCCCUACAACUCUCCAUUGCGCCCGGGGCCGGCGAGGAUCUUCUCCUGCACCAAGAAGCAGAAGGGGCGAGUUCGUGGGAGGAACGCCGCCGUCUUCAGCGCAAGCCGUCAAAGAGAGGAGGAGGAGGUGCUGUGGCAGCGCCUGGACUCGCUGGAGGCCGCCAGAGAUCGAGGCGCCGCAAAGGAGAUCGAGGUCGUCGGCGACGCAGGUCAAGUGCGAGGAGUGACCCGGUGUGGAAACCCUAGCUGCCAUGGUCUCGUGCCCCCUCGAGCUCGUGCUGAUUCACGUCCUACGGCCCCUCGUCGAGCUUGUUGUCGUCUUGCGAGCCCAGGUUGCUGCUGAAUUGGUUCAGAAUCAAUUACAUACGUAUGCUUCCACAUGAUUGAUGAUGUGCCGACAGGAGCGGUGUUAAAUUUUUUUAACGGCUCAGAAAGUUGAUGGUGGAAGGGCUGCUUGAAUCAGAUGCUAGAUAGUUGCAGUCCUCUAAGGAAAACGGUUCCUACUGUAAAAUGAAAUUCUUGAGCGAUAGCUUGUAGUCGUGUUUGCUGUUAUUCCUUUACUGUGUGCGGGAGGUGCUGCAAUAUAUCAAGGUGCAGCUGUUCCAUGAUCCCCAGUUCGACGGCCAGCUUGAAUAGCCGGCCCAGCACUAUGCACUGUGUGUACAAGCAAGGUAUGGAUUGAAGCAAAAGUCCUUAAACAAGCAACAAGUGAUGACAUGAUCUCAAUUUGCACUACAGGCUGGUCACCUUCUCCAAAUUCUUCAAAUGUUGUGCACUUAAGUGAAAAUGAGGUGGGAAUAUCUCGACAAGCCAUUCUGAUGUGUAUUCCAUUGGUACUUUGUUCUAUGCAUCUCCACCAAAUAACUCUAUUUAGUUGUGUCCAGCUAUUGUAGGUGAUAUCUAAUAUUGCUC
Long non-coding RNA from Lolium perenne, 1262 nucleotides. RefSeq lists it as uncharacterized. The record is from RefSeq and is a predicted model, not a curated record. NCBI's taxonomy places the organism in Eukaryota, Viridiplantae, Streptophyta, Magnoliopsida, Poales, Poaceae.